This 120-nucleotide small nuclear RNA is filed under the name Angiostrongylus costaricensis. Its description in RNAcentral is "U5 spliceosomal RNA". It matches the Rfam family "U5 spliceosomal RNA". From Rfam's summary of the family: U5 RNA is a component of both types of known spliceosome. The precise function of this molecule is unknown, though it is known that the 5' loop is required for splice site selection and p220 binding, and that both the 3' stem-loop and the Sm site are important for Sm protein binding and cap methylation. Lineage: Eukaryota; Metazoa; Nematoda; Chromadorea; Rhabditida; Metastrongylidae. The record is from Rfam by way of RNAcentral.
CAUCUCUGGAUCUGGUGCAUUUAACCGAGAAAAUCUUUCGCCUUUCACCAAAGAAUUCCGUGUAGCGGAGCGACUAUGAGUGAAUGCCAAUUUUUGCAGUCCACUCGACAAAGAGCGGGA